CCUAAUCCAGAAUGAGGGUG
Molecule: microRNA, 20 nt
Filed under: Monodelphis domestica (gray short-tailed opossum)
Lineage: Eukaryota; Metazoa; Chordata; Mammalia; Didelphimorphia; Didelphidae
Description: mdo-miR-7310-5p
Source: miRBase by way of RNAcentral